GGGACCGUGGUGUAGGGGUAUGCGUGUUUGCCUCUCACCCAGUCGACUUGGGUUCGAUUCCAGACGGUCCCG
Culex pipiens (northern house mosquito) is the source of this 72-nucleotide transfer RNA. It matches the Rfam family "tRNA". Rfam says of the family: Transfer RNA (tRNA) molecules are approximately 80 nucleotides in length. Their secondary structure includes four short double-helical elements and three loops (D, anti-codon, and T loops). The record is from Rfam. NCBI's taxonomy places the organism in Eukaryota, Metazoa, Arthropoda, Insecta, Diptera, Culicidae.